This 253-nucleotide ribosomal RNA is filed under the name uncultured bacterium. RNAcentral describes it as "partial 16S ribosomal RNA". It matches the Rfam family "Bacterial small subunit ribosomal RNA", at positions 524 to 776 of the family's 1533-position model. The record is from RNAcentral.
UACGUAGGGCGCGAGCGUUGUCCGGAAUUAUUGGGUGUAAAGAGCUCGUAGGCGGCCGGUUGCGUCUGCUGUGAAAUCCCGGGGCUUAACCCCGGGCGUGCAGUGGAUACGGGCCGGCUGGAGGCAGGCAGGGGAGAAUGGAAUUCCCGGUGUAGCGGUGAAAUGCGCAGAUAUCGGGAGGAACACCGGUGGCGAAGGCGGUUCUCUGGGCCUGUACUGACGCUGAGGAGCGAAAGCGUGGGGAGCGAACAGG